This 1766-nucleotide long non-coding RNA is filed under the name Sorghum bicolor (sorghum). RNAcentral describes it as "long non-coding RNA (SBIC_LNC009634)". Lineage: Eukaryota; Viridiplantae; Streptophyta; Magnoliopsida; Poales; Poaceae. The record is from RNAcentral.
UGGCUGGAAUAAUAGAACGACUCACUCCUAACCAAGGACAGUUAACUACUACCGGGAGUAAAAAGGAAUUAUCCAUGUAUAUAUCAUUGCAACACUGCUUUUCCGGUGAACAACGUCUAUGUUGUGUUCUUGUCUUCCCAAUAUCUAUUAUUACUGUUGACGUAACUAUUGCUAUAAAUAUGAAGGAAGCUAGACUUGCCCAGGCAUAUUUGGUAUAUAUUCUGGACAAUAUCCUAUCGAAAUGAGAGGCAGGAGGAAAAAAGCCAGACACUGAUGUUCUCCAACCAUGUGAGUGGGCUCUAAUUGAUAUGCUGUGUUGUUCAAUCAGACAUUGUAGCCGACUGAAAUAAUAAUAGUGACAGCACUAGAAACCUGCUCAAAAGAAAACAGAAUGACGAUGGACAGUAAUGACUGUGUACAUAUCUGCUCCCUCUUGACAGAACAAACACUAUAGACCACGUCUUUUUCUCACUGCCCAUUUACAACAGCCUGAUGGAACAUCAUUGACUUUCAGAGUCACCCAUCUAGCAAUGUCUUUGUUUCUCCGAAGCUUCUCAAACAGCAAGUCCAAGGACCUUUCUUGGUGGAAACAUUCAUUCUUCUGUGCUGGAGUAUCUGGAUGGAAAGAAAUUACCUCAUCUUCAGAGGCAUACAAUCGAGCGUGUGGACAAAUGCAAAGCUAAUUUCACUUCUGAAUUGGUCUGUUCUUGCACAGGAUCAAGAAUACCGAUCAACCCUGUUCUUAUGGACAGAAAACUUUUGCUAAUUCUUCUUUUAUUUUUCUUUUAUUCCUUUUUUGUUUCUUGAGUUCUGACCUUUUGUAAUUUUCACUUACAUGUAAUUCUUUUGCUCGUUUCAAUAUAUUCAGUAGGGCAUUGCCCAUUCUAUUCUUUUUAAAAAAGGUAGUUACAACUUGAAAGGACUCAAGGAGGUUCGGUGACAGUGUUGGUGGCCAUCAGUGAUGGUGGCAUCGGUAAGCAACAAUCACGUAGACAGCUACAAGUUUAACUCUUAUGGUAGCAAAAGACCAAUACCUAAACUGGGGAGGCUGAAGGUCAAGUGGAAACCAAAUUCAAAUUUGUGAGGAUAUAUACAUGGUUAGGAACCCAGGCUUCAAAAUUCUAGUACCCUACCUUGUCCAGUAUUGUUCGACAAAAACAAGCAACGGUGGCACAAUUGCUUGGUUCUAACACCCACUUAAUGUCUCUUUCAAAGACCACUGGAUGGAAAUGGAAAUAUAUUAACUAACUGAGUGCCUCAUAAUUGUUGUGAGGGUCACUUAAUUAACUUGGGGAGGGAAGUUAGUCUACAUAAGAAUGGGUCUUUCAAAAUUGAGUGGGUGUAUAAACAUCUAGCCAACAGUGGAAUUAGAGCCACACAAAAAAAAUCAUAUGAGCCACAUUGUAUAUAUGGUCACCAAUGACACACGCCUUGGAGGGAAGUCAUGGUGAUGCACUGGCCACUAAGUCAUCAAACUGCACCACAGGGAGGACCUCCUUGAUGACCAUCGCCUACUAUAGGAGUGUGUCACCACCGCCACCACAGCUAAGGGCCAAUUUUGAGGCCACCUAAAAUCACCCAUGACCGCAAGUAGGACACCGUCUACGAGAGCUGGACAUUGGAACGAAAGACAAAAUGGGAGGGAGUAUGAUGGGGAUAGUGAAAAAAAUAAAUGCUAUGCUGGCAUGCCACAUCAACAAGGAAAUGUUGUCAAAGUAGUAUGGACAUGUUGUGCAUUGUACCACUUAACAAGUUAGGUGACCAGG